RNAcentral lists this ribosomal RNA (551 nucleotides) under Staphylococcus sp. RNAcentral's name for it is "bacterial SSU rRNA". It matches the Rfam family "Bacterial small subunit ribosomal RNA", at positions 80 to 616 of the family's 1533-position model. Lineage: Bacteria; Bacillati; Bacillota; Bacilli; Caryophanales; Staphylococcaceae. The record is from RNAcentral.
UUGCUCCUUUGACGUUAGCGGCGGACGGGUGAGUAACACGUGGGUAACCUACCUAUAAGACUGGAAUAACUCCGGGAAACCGGGGCUAAUGCCGGAUAACAUUUAGAACCGCAUGGUUCUAAAGUGAAAGAUGGUUUUGCUAUCACUUAUAGAUGGACCCGCGCCGUAUUAGCUAGUUGGUAAGGUAACGGCUUACCAAGGCAACGAUACGUAGCCGACCUGAGAGGGUGAUCGGCCACACUGGAACUGAGACACGGUCCAGACUCCUACGGGAGGCAGCAGUAGGGAAUCUUCCGCAAUGGGCGAAAGCCUGACGGAGCAACGCCGCGUGAGUGAUGAAGGUCUUCGGAUCGUAAAACUCUGUUAUUAGGGAAGAACAAAUGUGUAAGUAACUAUGCACGUCUUGACGGUACCUAAUCAGAAAGCCACGGCUAACUACGUGCCAGCAGCCGCGGUAAUACGUAGGUGGCAAGCGUUAUCCGGAAUUAUUGGGCGUAAAGCGCGCGUAGGCGGUUUCUUAAGUCUGAUGUGAAAGCCCACGGCUCAACCGU